CCCGCUGAACUUAAGCAUAUCAAUAAGCGGAGGAAAAGAAACUAACAAGGAUUCCCCUAGUAACUGCGAGUGAAGCGGGAAAAGCUCAAAUUUAAAAUCUGGCGGUCUUUCGGCCGUCCGAGUUGUAAUCUGGAGAAGUGUUAUCCGCGCUGGACCGUGUACAAGUCUCCUGGAAUGGAGCGUCAUAGAGGGUGAGAAUCCCGUCUUUGACACGGACUGCCAGGGCAUUGUGAUGCGCUCUCGAAGAGUCGAGUUGUUUGGGAAUGCAGCUCAAAAUGGGUGGUAAAUUCCAUCUAAAGCUAAAUAUUGGGGAGAGACCGAUAGCGAACAAGUACCGUGAGGGAAAGAUGAAAAGAACUUUGGAAAGAGAGUUAAACAGUACGUGAAAUUGCUGAAAGGGAAACGCUUGAAGUCAGUCGCGUCGUUCAGGACUCAGCCUUGCUUUGCUUGGUGUACUUUCUGUUCGACGGGUCAGCAUCAAUUUUGGUCGGUGGAUAAAGGCUCAGAGAAUGUGGCAUCUUCGGGUGUGUUAUAGCUCUGGGUCGCAUACAUCGGCUGGGAUUGAGGAACUCAGCACGCCGCAAGGCCGGGUACUUGUACCACGUACGUGCUUAGGAUGCUGGCAUAAUGGCUUUAAUCGACCCGUCUUGAAACACGG
RNAcentral lists this ribosomal RNA (658 nucleotides) under uncultured fungus. RNAcentral describes it as "eukaryotic LSU rRNA". It matches the Rfam family "Eukaryotic large subunit ribosomal RNA", at positions 24 to 664 of the family's 3401-position model. The record is from RNAcentral. Lineage: Eukaryota; Fungi.